Stomoxys calcitrans (stable fly) is the source of this 513-nucleotide long non-coding RNA. RefSeq lists it as uncharacterized. The record is from RefSeq and is a predicted model, not a curated record. The transcript is spliced from 2 exons. NCBI's taxonomy places the organism in Eukaryota, Metazoa, Arthropoda, Insecta, Diptera, Muscidae.
UCCAUUUCUUAUGAUAUCAAAGAUUUCGUUAGAGCUGCAUACCGGCUUUUUUAGGGAAGUGUUAACGAAGCUGAAAUACACAAUGUGUCAGACGCAUUGGUGAGGGUUAAGCACCCAGGGGCUUCUAUUCUGACAUCCGACACUACUUUCUAUAAUUGUAAAAAAUUUUAUGAUGAGAAUUUACAAAAUUGUGAUAAAUCAUUCGCAUGACAAUCACCACGAUUCCUCAAGGGGCGAAAGAGAAAACGAAGCAAAUUUGCCCAUAAACAUUCCGUUCCUUAAUGAAAAGGGGCAAACUUUCCACAUACCAAUGUGUGCUGUCCGAUGGGUGAAGUUAGUCACAGAAUAUCUUGCAAACUAUAGUACAAAGAAUAAAAUCGUUCAAAAAUUCUAAAAUAUCACGAAAGAAAGUCCAGAAUGGCAUAUGGAACACAGUAAAGGCAUGCAGAUAAAGAUAUGUACUAGUUGGUUUUAAAUCAAAAUAUACUUAAAUAAUGAUUCACGGUACAGUAA